Molecule: long non-coding RNA, 2660 nt
Filed under: Struthio camelus australis
Lineage: Eukaryota; Metazoa; Chordata; Aves; Struthioniformes; Struthionidae
Description: lncRNA (ENSSCUG00000006683.1)
Source: RNAcentral
AUGACCUGUGUGGUGCCCAACAGUCAACUUACUUACAUCUGCAUGCCCAGAGAUAAAAGAAAGGCACAAGGAAUGGAUAACAGGAAGGAGGAAAGAAGUAGAUCGCUAUGUGCAACAUCACACGAAGAGCUGAAAGUCCGAGGAAAAGAAAAAAGGAAACGAAAACGUAGUAGAAGCAGAUCAUCAUCAGUUUCAUCCACAUCAUCUUCUAGUGCUACCACGUCCUCCACUUCUUCCUCCUCAUCACGCUCGUCAUCGAGGUCUUCUUCAAGUAGCAGGGGUAAGCUGCCACUUGUGUACAAGUGGUUUUUACCUGUGUUGAGAGCAUUCUUGGAAACAUGUAGAGCUUAUUUUAAAUGUGGCUACGCUGCCACAAAACGAUACUACAGAUUACAAAUAUUACGUGUUGAGAGUGUUUUCUUACAACCGUUUCCUUUGGUAAUGUUAAGGUGCCUCCUUAUCCACCAUAUGCAAUGCUCCUGUGUUAAUUUAAAUGUCUUCAGAAAUAAAAGCGUCUUAUUUUGUUUGAAGAAAUGUUACUUUGGUAAGAAUAUACAUAAGUAUACGUUUAAAGCUCUGGGUUUUUUUUUAAGUAAACUGAAUACAGAUCUUUUUCUACUUCACCUCUUUAGACCAGAGUUAAGGUUUUUGUUUUGGUCUUACUGUGAUCUUGAAGUUUCAAACACUUAAAUAUAAGGACUUACAAAAGGUAUAUUAAUACAAAUAACUGAGUUCAGUGGAAACACAUCCAAGUGUUGUAGGAUUAAGACUUUCCUAUUAAACUGCUGCUUACUCAGAGGACUUGGAGUAGCUUUGAUCUUUUAAAAAAGAUAAAAUCUGGAAGUAAGUGCAGGUUUUCUGUAUGGCUCCAGCUUGUGGCUUCAAGGGAAACGUAUUGCUGAUUAUAUCAAGACUGCAUUAUUUUGAUGUUCUGUUUUGAAAUAUUUUAUAUCAUUGUAGGUAAAGUGAGCAGAUUGCCCUUUUUGAGUAUAAUACAUGAGGCUAAACACUGAAGUGUGUUUUUUUUUCUUUUUACUGUGAUUGGGAGGAAGACUCUAUGGACCACAGUUCGCUUGACUACAACUCUUUAGCUUCAGGGUCAGAUGAAGUUUCACUGUGCCAUACUGGACCUCAUAUUUGUGAAUAUAAAUUUUUUGCCAUAUAUAACUAAGAUUUUCUAAUCUUUCCGUAAUGCAAGGUUGUAGAUCGAUUAUUUCUUGGACAGUGCUUCAGGAAUCAUAUAUUUGCUAAGAUUAUCGGCCCAACUGAACCGCAUUCACUUGUAUACAACUCAGUAGAGCUGGAAUACCUGUAGUAGAGGAGGAAGAAAAGGGAGUACUUUCUUAAUGCCACAGAUGAACAAAGACUAAGUUCCACUUCUCUUGAAGUGGAUUUAAUGUCUACAUGGAAAUAUUAUUUUUUCUUCGUACUUCAGUGACUGAUUCAAAGUGUCUGACCGUUAUUAUUUUCUGAAAAUGUUCAUACUUGUGAACUUGUACAUUACAAGUUCCUGUCUUUUUGAAUUAAUUUUAUGCCAUGUGACAUACUCUGAAAUUUUUGAAAAGAAUUAAAAUGUCAUGUCAGGCACUGGCUGUGUGAUGAUUCUUGGCAUGCUUUCUGGCACAUUAUGUUCUUAGUUUUUGAGACUGUAUCAUUAGAAAUAUAAUUUUUUAAAUUCAACAGCCUCUCUUUGUUUGUUGUUUUCCAAAGUAUAUUACUGCAUGGUUAUAAAGAAAGUUAUCAAGCGAUGUCCAGAGGGUUAAUGGCACACAAAAACAGAAGGGAGGGUUUUUGUAAUGUAUAAGCAUGCUGUUGAAGCGUUGCACUGAUGAUGAGCAAUACAGAAGAUGACUGUCAUCUGCUAUGAUUCUCUUACCCCAACAGUUACUGUUUGAGAUUUUACUUAGCCCUGCCAGCUCUGACAGUUGUCUGGCGUAAAAAAUAGCAUUUCCAUAUCCCAUUCCAAAACCUUAUUUCUGAUAUUUUGAUACACCAGCCUUGGACAUCUUACUAAAAUUUUACAUUUUGGCCUCCAACUAGACUAGGCAGAAAAAAACUGAAAAAAGAUUGAAAAAAACCCAACAAAAUAAGUCAUUCAGAAUUUAUCAGUCUUUUAGAAGGAUGGCAAGAAAUAUGUUAUCUGGGGAAAAAAAUCAUUCUGAAUUAGGCCCAAGUUAUCAAUUUGCGUGCUUGAAGAUUUGCUAAAACUUCACAGACAAAACAUUCCCUAAAUUUUCCAUUCACAAGGGAGAGAGAAGAUCUAGAAAAAAUGUCCUACAAGGGCAUGUUUAAACAAGUCAAUUUACUCAAUUUAGAUUGAGAGGAAAAGACAUGAGGCAAUCAAGUUAAGACAGAUAUAUAUCUAUGUGUAUGUAUAUUGACGAGGUCUGAUGUGUCAGCUAUAACAAAGUUGGAGUUGACCUUCCUUGGGAUAGCAGAAUAGAGGUUUCUUCUGUCCUUGUUUUUUAUAUUAUUCUCUUUUCUUAUUUAGAGACUGCAGCUGCAGUUCUGGCUGUUAAGUACUGUAAAAGUAUCUGGGAAACCUGAAAGGAGAGUGGGGGAAACUCUUCUGCUUUCUGAGUGAUAUCCCCCACCUGCCUUCUCCAAACUUCUUGGUGAUGUAGAUUGAAUGGAAAAUAAAGCUGUCUAAUUUGAGUGCA